AUUCUGCCUCCACUGUCACUGCUGCUGCUGCUGCAGUGUUGCCCAGAGUUGCACUGAAGAGCAGAGUGGGGCUCUGUGACCUCAUAACAACGUGGCAUCCUGUAAACUGUCAUCAACAUUGGGCAUUGCACCCCCCUACCAGUACACCCCAAAGUACACCUAUGUUGCCUUUGCAUUCAGGCACCAUCUCUCUGUUCAGUUUCCUUGUUCUGCAUAGGAACAGAAGGAGCACAAGUAGAGAAGGGUGGAUGUAUUCUGGGAGGCAGCACUGUGCACGGAAAUGCAGAGGCACUCAUAUCUUAUUCCUCAGAAAUCCCCAUCAAAAGCCUCAUAUGAAGGUGCCAUUAAAAAACCCAAUUGCAGGUGCCUUUCUUUGGCACUACACAUUUGUCUAGACAGCAUUCUGGCAAGAAGCCUGCUUUUCCCAAUACUUCUGCUACAGCUUCAUGACCAGGCAGCACUGCUUCCCUCCACUGCUAUGAUGCAAAGGUGGGUGUGCAGUGCUCAGGCUUCUCCCAGAUCCUUUUUCCCUUUGAGGCAGGGAAAUGUGCCACAUGCCACCAUCAGGCCUGGUGUCCUGUAGAGCAACCCACAGAAAAAGCUCCACACUUUGCUGGGAAGACCAGGGUGACAGAUCCCUCAGCAGUUCUCCAGAGGUCCUGACCUCCCUCUUGCUUGUCCUUGGACACCAUGAGGUACUGCCAUGGACACAAAGGUGCGAUGUUCCCGCAGGUAAGAGCUAACACGAGUGGCCUUUUAGCUGAGCAGCUCUUCCAGGAAGGAAAUACUCAUGGACUUACGUGUGCCGGCCACCCCAGGCUCAGAAUCUCUGCAAGGCCUUAGAGAGCACCUUUGGUAUAAAUGCCCAGGAAGCAUCUGUUAAACCCCAGGUGUUUAUAGCCACAAGCAGAGAGGCAUUGACAGCUUUCCACCUCUGGGCUGUCUCCAAGGCUCAUAAGCAGUUUCCAGCUGACAAGCUGCAUAAACUUGGCCAAUACCAACCUCUGGAAUCAAGCACAGAACG
Cyanistes caeruleus (blue tit) is the source of this 1024-nucleotide non-coding RNA. The record is from RefSeq and is a predicted model, not a curated record. NCBI's taxonomy places the organism in Eukaryota, Metazoa, Chordata, Aves, Passeriformes, Paridae.